Molecule: transfer RNA, 69 nt
Filed under: Rattus norvegicus (Norway rat)
Lineage: Eukaryota; Metazoa; Chordata; Mammalia; Rodentia; Muridae
Rfam family: tRNA
About the family: Transfer RNA (tRNA) molecules are approximately 80 nucleotides in length. Their secondary structure includes four short double-helical elements and three loops (D, anti-codon, and T loops).
Source: Rfam by way of RNAcentral
GGGGAUUUAGCUCAGUGGUAGAGCGCUUGCCUAGAAAGCAAAAGGCCCUGGGUUCGGUCCCCAGCUCCG